Molecule: long non-coding RNA, 784 nt
Organism: Helianthus annuus (common sunflower)
Lineage: Eukaryota; Viridiplantae; Streptophyta; Magnoliopsida; Asterales; Asteraceae
Exons: 2
Source: RefSeq, a predicted model, not a curated record
AUAUCACACAUCCAUCUCAAAGCCAAAACCAAAAACAAGAUUUCUAAUUUCUUUCUCCCAAACAAAACCAAGUCAAGUCUUCCCUUCGCGAUUCCCUUCUUCGCCACUAAGUAUUGAAAAUCGAAGAUGAACAGAAUGUUAGUGCUCGAGUAUUGAAAAUCGAAGAUGAACAGAAUAUUUCUAACUGAGUAUUGAAGAUCGAAGAUGAACAGAAUGUUAGUGCUCGAUCCGGUACCGAUCGUGUCGGUGUUAGUGUUUGAGUCCUCCUGGUAGAUCUGAAUGAAGUCUCACACGAAGCUUUCGUUUUUUGCUACUACCGCCACCAAACGACUUCGUCCAUUACCUCAUCAGAUCUAGUGAUGAAGAUACAGAGAUCGGGUUAAAGUGUUGUAGAUCUGAUUCGAGAUGCUGUAGAUCUGCCAUGGUUUUCAUUUUCUUUUUCGUUUUUUCUCGAUUCAAGCCAUAAAACUUGGAUUACAUGAUGGUAGCCAACCGUUGGGCAGGAGAGACACCACAUUAAGCGAAGGCCAGAGUUAAGCGACGACCGGUGACCGGUGUUGGGAGGUUUUACCGGCCAGCGGCUCCGACACCUCAAUUUCGCGUGGUCUUCUGAUGGAGAUUGUUCAAUUUGAUUUGAUGAUAUCUUGUAAUGAAAUAUUGUUAAUGUUAAUUUUGUAUUAUUUUAUGAAAUAUAGUAUAAUAUUUGUUAAUAUCAUAUAAAAAAUGUUGUGUAAACUUAAUUGUUUCGCUAUAAAUGUAAUUUAUUUUGUAUUAUUUAUCAAAA